UCCUACGGGAGGCAGCAGUGGGGAAUAUUGCACAAUGGGGGAAACCCUGAUGCAGCGACGCCGCGUGAAGGAAGAAGUAUCUCGGUAUGUAAACUUCUAUCAGCAGGGAAGAUAAUGACGGUACCUGACUAAGAAGCCCCGGCUAACUACGUGCCAGCAGCCGCGGUAAUGCGUAGGUGCCAGCAGCCGCGGUAAU
This 196-nucleotide ribosomal RNA is filed under the name uncultured Ruminococcus sp. RNAcentral's name for it is "partial 16S ribosomal RNA". It matches the Rfam family "Bacterial small subunit ribosomal RNA", at positions 337 to 551 of the family's 1533-position model. The record is from RNAcentral. Lineage: Bacteria; Bacillati; Bacillota; Clostridia; Eubacteriales; Oscillospiraceae.